Molecule: ribosomal RNA, 428 nt
Filed under: uncultured delta proteobacterium
Lineage: Bacteria; Deltaproteobacteria
Description: bacterial SSU rRNA
Rfam family: Bacterial small subunit ribosomal RNA
Source: RNAcentral
UAGGCAACCUACCCUGGAGUUCGGGAUAACAGUGCGAAAGCGCUGCUAAUACCGGAUACGACGAAAGACCGGAGGGUUUUUCGUGAAAGGGGGGCCUCUCUAUAGAAGCUCCUACUCUGGGACGGGCCUGCGUCCUAUCAGCUAGUUGGUGGGGUAACGGCCUACCAAGGCGACGACGGGUAGCUGGUCUGAGAGGAUGAUCAGCCACACUGGCACUGGAACACGGGCCAGACUCCUACGGGAGGCAGCAGUGAGGAAUUUUGCGCAAUGGCCGCAAGGCUGACGCAGCAACGCCGCGUGGGUGAAGAAGGCCUUCGGGUCGUAAAGCCCUGUCAGGUGGGAAGAAAUCUCUUGAGGUGAAUAAUCUUUAGAGUUGACGGUACCACCGGAGGAAGCACCGGCUAACUCCGUGCCAGCAGCCGCGGUAA